This 588-nucleotide ribosomal RNA is filed under the name uncultured bacterium. Its description in RNAcentral is "bacterial SSU rRNA". It matches the Rfam family "Bacterial small subunit ribosomal RNA", at positions 338 to 916 of the family's 1533-position model. The record is from RNAcentral.
CCUACGGGAGGCAGCAGUGGGGAAUCUUGCGCAAUGGGGGAAACCCUGACGCAGCAACGCCGCGUGGGUGAUGAAGGCCUUCGGGUCGUAAAGCCCUGUCAGGUGGGAAGAAACUUGUGGAUGUUAAUACCAUCCAUGCUUGACGGUACCACCGGAGGAAGCACCGGCUAACUCCGUGCCAGCAGCCGCGGUAAUACGGAGGGUGCAAGCGUUGUUCGGAAUUAUUGGGCGUAAAGCGCGUGUAGGUGGUCGUGUAAGUCAGAUGUGAAAGCCUUCUGCUUAACAGAAGAAGGGCAUUUGAAACUGCUCGACUAGAGUACGGGAGAGGAGAGUGGAAUUCCCGGUGUAGAGGUGAAAUUCGUAGAUAUCGGGAGGAACACCAGUGGCGAAGGCGGCUCUCUGGUCCGAUACUGACACUGAGACGCGAAAGCGUGGGGAGCAAACAGGAUUAGAUACCCUGGUAGUCCACGCCGUAAACGAUGGGCACUAGGUGUAGGAGGUAUUGACCCCUUCUGUGCCGAAGCUAACGCAUUAAGUGCCCCGCCUGGGGAGUACGGCCGCAAGGCUAAAACUCAAAGGAAUUGACGG